GCUUGUUGGUGAGGUAAAGGCUCACCAAGGCCACGAUCAGUAGCUGGUCUGAGAGGACGAUCAGCCACACUGGGAUUGAGAACGGCCCAGACUCCUACGGGGGGCAGCAGUGAGGAAUUUUCGUCAAUGGGGGCAACCCUGAACGAGCAACGCCGCGUGGAGGAUGAAGGCCUUCGGGUCGUAAACUCCUUUUCUCUGGGACGAGCAAGGACGGUACCAGAGGAAGAAGCCCCGGCUAACUACGUGCCAGCAGCCGCGGUAAUACGUAGGGGGCAAGCGUUGUCCGGAUUUAUUGGGCGUAAAGCGUCCGCAGGUGGUCAACCAAGUUUGGGGUGACAGUUCCCGGCUCAACUGGGAAAGUGCUUCGAAAACUGGCUGACUUGAGGGCUUGAGAGGAAAGCGGAAUUCCGGGUGGAGUGGUGAAAUGCGUAGAUAUCCGGAGGAACACCAAUGGCGUAGGCAGCUUUCUGGCAAGUACCUGACACUCAUGGACGAAAGCUAGGGGAGCAAACGGGAUUAGAUACCCCGGUAGUCCUAGCCGUAAACGAUGACCACUAGACGUGGGGGGUAUCGACCCCCUCUGUGUCGCAGUUAACACAUUAAGUGGUCCGCCUGGGG
Molecule: ribosomal RNA, 618 nt
Filed under: uncultured bacterium
Lineage: Bacteria
Description: SSU rRNA
Rfam family: Bacterial small subunit ribosomal RNA
Source: RNAcentral